Pezoporus occidentalis (night parrot) is the source of this 415-nucleotide long non-coding RNA. RefSeq lists it as uncharacterized. The transcript has 3 exons. The record is from RefSeq and is a predicted model, not a curated record. Lineage: Eukaryota; Metazoa; Chordata; Aves; Psittaciformes; Psittacidae.
GGCUCCUUCAGACCGCCAGGUAACGCGCGCGCGCGCCAACGGCUCCCCUCACGGCCAUCAACUUCCUCAAGGAGGAGAGCGGGCACCCUGCACCCCCCCGGCGUCUCUCCCCGCUGCGGCACCGGAGGGCGGCCGGCCAAAGAGACCGCCUGACUGCCGCUCACCUCGCACAGGUGCCGUGCUGGAAACAGUGCUUGGGGAAGGUUGACCUAAAAGGGGUGUAAUGGUCCUGUAUUUCCAGACCUCUGUGAUCUUGGGAAAGAUCUACAGUAGCCUUCUAAGCCAUUCGCUGAGGAAACUCAGGUACUAAGGUCCAGGAAAAGCAACUUCAAAUAGUGACUGUACUUGGAUAUCUCUUCAGUGGUUUCCUGGUAUAGAAGAUUCCAAAUAUACUAAAUGUUGAUUGUCUUUCCUU